Molecule: ribosomal RNA, 292 nt
Filed under: uncultured Bacteroidota bacterium
Lineage: Bacteria; Pseudomonadati; Bacteroidota
Description: uncultured Bacteroidetes bacterium partial 16S ribosomal RNA
Source: RNAcentral
GGACUACCGGGGUAUCUAAUCCUGUUUGAUCCCCACGCUUUCGUGCAUGAGCGUCUAUCACAAAUUCGUAACCUGUCUUCACGAUCGGCGUUCUGUGUUAUAUCUAAGCAUUUCACCGCUACAUAACACAUUCCAGCUACGUCAUUUGAAUACUAGUCCGACAGUAUCAAUGGCACGUCACAUGUUAAGCAUGUAAAUUUCACCACUGACUUAUCAGUCCGCCUGCGCACCCUUUAAACCCAAUAAAUCCGGAUAACGCUUGCAUCCUCCGUAUUACCGCGGCGGCUGGCAC